Molecule: long non-coding RNA, 2230 nt
Organism: Quercus lobata
Lineage: Eukaryota; Viridiplantae; Streptophyta; Magnoliopsida; Fagales; Fagaceae
Exons: 4
Source: RefSeq, a predicted model, not a curated record
CUUUCCCUCUCACAAAAUUUCCCCCAAAUUUUUGCCCUCUCACUCUUUCACUUAGGGAUUUCAUGAGCUCUCUCCUUCUCAUUCUCACUCUCUCUCACGAUGCUCUCUCUUUCUCCCUUCACUCCUCUUCUCUCUUUCUCCCCUAACUCAUCUUCGAUCUAUCCAACAGACCCAUGUGCCACCGCCACCCACUGCAUAGCCACCUUCUGCCACCGAUGCUAGCCACCACCGCCACCGUCGACCUCCAAUCUUGCCGUUAGGUGUGGCUUUUGCUCUCCCUCUCACCUUCGGCUCUCCCUCACUCCAUCGCCAUGGCUCCUUCGAUUUGUACUUCGCAUGGCCUUCAGAUCCUUCGACUUACAUCGCCGUCGUCGACCUCCAUCCACGCCGUUCGUUUGAUGCAUCUGAUAUGGUUUUGGGAUUGUAUACUUGUAUUGUUAACUUGGUGGUUUAAUAAUCCGAUAUAGCAGGUGCUGGUAAUUUGUCACUUUGAUGACCGUCCAAGCUACCAGACAAUUUGUCUCUAAGUUGCAGCUAGGAAGACCAAAAGCAAGGAAUUGAUACUGCUUUGCCCACACAACAGCAAACAAGAUACUGGAAGUCUCCCUAUGCUCCAGCAGGUGGUGAAGAUGGAGGAAGUGCUGCAUCUGAGGAUGGGACUACCAAUGUAUGAGACGCUGCUGUUGGCUCUUUACUCUUAUGAGAACUGCUAAUUGUUAUUCGGAUACCUACAUAGGUAAUGAGUACUUUUCUGUUGUUUUCCAAAAUAAAGUCUGGUGAAAAUGUUUUGUUGUUAGCUAAAGGAACAAACUAUAAUUAUAAUGCAAUUGAGAUUUAUGAAGCUUCAGUUUCUACUGUUCCAUAUGUUUUUCUGUGUGGGACAUCGCUGCUCAUUUUAUGAUAAAUGUAAAUAAAAAGGCUUAUGUAUGACUAGCAAAAAAAUUUUCUGUUGUUUAUUAUUAUAGGUAUCUGGUUGUAUUGUUGAAACUAUACAUGUCCUUUGUAUUUUACUUGGGAAAUGACAAUUGUCUCCAAUUAACUCUAGCUUAAAUGGUAUAAGAAUAAGGUGAAGGAUGAGAUUGUGAGAUCGAGACUCAUGGGUGCACGAGUAACUGGCUAAUAAAAAAAAAGAAUUGACAAUUGUCUCUUUUAAAUUUAAUAACAAAAAUAUUUACAUAUUGUUUCCAUAUAGACAAAAUUGUUAAAGAUCAUUGAUGUGUUUGUCAUUGGCGUGAAGUUUCAAGCUUUGGUGCCUUUUUCUCGACCUUGUUUGUAAGUCAGAUUGUUUAACUCUCACUCUCAGUUUGGUUUCAUAAUUAAGCCAAGUCUUUCUUUUGAAUGUGGCCGAUUCUAGGUACAAAUGGCUACAUUUUAACUUUGUUUGAGUAUGUAAUGUGCUAUGCACAUUUAAUAUAAUAUCCAUACUUCAUUUUUCAGUCAAAACACUCUGUAACUCCAACACCCAUGAAUAAAAUCUCUCAUCUCCACCUUUGAAAGUAAGACCAAAAGUAUUGGACAAGCUUAAAAUCUGAAGUUUCUUUUCCCUUCUUUCCUCAAGGUAAUUUCUUUUGUUGCCUAAACCAGUCUUGGGCUGCUUGAAAUGAUUAGAAUUCUAAAUGAUUACAACAACAACAACCAAGCCAUAAUCCUAAAUUUUUUGGGUUUGGCUUUAGAUCUGGAACAGUUUGUUAGAAUCUGUCACAAGUAUUCUUUUCCACCAUUCUAUUCUAUUUGUAAACUGAAAUCAUACUUCCUAUUAUUUUCUUAAUUGAGAUGUUAUUUUUUACUACUACUACUAAUGCUAUUUUUUGUAAUCCUUUACCUUUUUUUGCCCAGAAAUUGAUGAUUGGUCGGAGGAUUUUGAUUUUGCAGAAGAGGUCUUUCAGAUCCGUUCGGCGGAUCCUAUGUCCGUACACCUCCCAAACUCCGAACCCGAAUCUAUCCCCAGCCCAAGCCUCGGCGUCGUUUCGGUCCGCUGGUAGUCAUAGUAGUAUUCUUCAUGUGAGUCCCCUGUUCUUCUUGUAUUUUGAUAUCUCGGUGCGUCGUCGUUUUUAGCUUAAUGAUCAAGUCACAUCGUUAUUUAUUUAUUUAUUAUAGUUUUCAUAUAGAGUUAAAUUAACAUUUCUAUAAUUACCGUGAAACAUUUAUCAAUUAGUCUAGUUUGUCACACCUAACUGAGCUUGGUAUAUGUAGGAAAAUUUGAGGAUGAACUAGUUCUUCAUUGACUUUA